Molecule: unclassified non-coding RNA, 352 nt
Filed under: soil metagenome
Description: partial contains 5.8S ribosomal RNA, internal transcribed spacer 2, and large subunit ribosomal RNA
Rfam family: 5.8S ribosomal RNA (bases 1-120)
Source: RNAcentral
GAUGAAGAACGCAGCGAAAUGCGAUAAGUAAUGUGAAUUGCAGAAUUCAGUGAAUCAUCGAAUCUUUGAACGCACAUUGCGCCCGCCAGUAUUCUGGCGGGCAUGCCUGUUCGAGCGUCAUUACAACCCUCAGGCCCCCGGGCCUGGCGUUGGGGAUCGGCGGAAGCCCCCUGUGGGCACACGCCGUCCCUCAAAUACAGUGGCGGUCCCGCCGCAGCCUCCAUUGCGUAGUAGCUAACACCUCGCAACUGGAGAGCGGCGCGGCCAUGCCGUAAAACACCCAACUUCUGAAUGUUGACCUCGAAUCAGGUGGGAAUACCCGCUGAACUUAAGCAUAUCAAUAAGCGGAGGA